AGAGUUUGAUCAUGGCUCAGGAUGAACGCUGGCGGCGUGCUUAACACAUGCAAGUCGAACGAUGAUCUCCAGCUUGCUGGGGGGAUUAGUGGCGAACGGGUGAGUAACACGUGAGUAACCUGCCCUUUAACUCUGGGAUAAGCCUGGGAAACUGGGUCUAAUACCGGAUAUGACUCCUCAUCGCAUGGUGGGGGGUGGAAAGCUUUUUGUGGUUUUGGAUGGACUCGCGGCCUAUCAGCUUGUUGGUGAGGUAAUGGCUCACCAAGGCGACGACGGGUAGCCGGCCUGAGAGGGUGACCGGCCACACUGGGACUGAGACACGGCCCAGACUCCUACGGGAGGCAGCAGUGGGGAAUAUUGCACAAUGGGCGCAAGCCUGAUGCAGCGACGCCGCGUGAGGGAUGACGGCCUUCGGGUUGUAAACCUCUUUCAGUAGGGAAGAAGCGAAAGUGACGGUACCUGCAGAAGAAGCGCCGGCUAACUACGUGCCAGCAGCCGCGGUAAUACGUAGGGCGCAAGCGUUAUCCGGAAUUAUUGGGCGUAAAGAGCUCGUAGGCGGUUUGUCGCGUCUGCCGUGAAAGUCCGGGGCUCAACUCCGGAUCUGCGGUGGGUACGGGCAGACUAGAGUGAUGUAGGGGAGACUGGAAUUCCUGGUGUAGCGGUGAAAUGCGCAGAUAUCAGGAGGAACACCGAUGGCGAAGGCAGGUCUCUGGGCAUUAACUGACGCUGAGGAGCGAAAGCAUGGGGAGCGAACAGGAUUAGAUACCCUGGUAGUCCAUGCCGUAAACGUUGGGCACUAGGUGUGGGGGACAUUCCACGUUUUCCGCGCCGUAGCUAACGCAUUAAGUGCCCCGCCUGGGGAGUACGGCCGCAAGGCUAAAACUCAAAGGAAUUGACGG
Molecule: ribosomal RNA, 899 nt
Filed under: uncultured bacterium
Lineage: Bacteria
Description: bacterial SSU rRNA
Rfam family: Bacterial small subunit ribosomal RNA
Source: RNAcentral